AUUGAACGCUGGCGGCGUGCCUAAUACAUGCAAGUCGAGCGCAGGAAGCCGUCUGAACCCUUCGGGGGGACGACGGUGGAAUGAGCGGCGGACGGGUGAGUAACACGUAAAGAACCUGCCCAUAGGUCUGGGAUAACCACGAGAAAUCGGGGCUAAUACCGGAUGUGUCAUCGGACCGCAUGGUCCGCUGAUGAAAGGCGCUCCGGCGUCGCCCAUGGAUGGCUUUGCGGUGCAUUAGCUAGUUGGUGGGGUAACGGCCCACCAAGGCGACGAUGCAUAGCCGACCUGAGAGGGUGAUCGGCCACACUGGGACUGAGACACGGCCCAGACUCCUACGGGAGGCAGCAGUAGGGAAUCUUCCACAAUGGACGAAAGUCUGAUGGAGCAACGCCGCGUGAACGAUGAAGGCUUUCGGGUCGUAAAGUUCUGUUGUAAGGGAAGAACAAGUGCCGCGGGCAAUGGCGGCACCUUGACGGUACCUUGCGAGAAAGCCACGGCUAACUACGUGCCAGCAGCCGCAGUAA
Molecule: ribosomal RNA, 524 nt
Filed under: uncultured bacterium
Lineage: Bacteria
Description: partial 16S ribosomal RNA
Rfam family: Bacterial small subunit ribosomal RNA
Source: RNAcentral